Molecule: long non-coding RNA, 233 nt
Filed under: Setaria italica (foxtail millet)
Lineage: Eukaryota; Viridiplantae; Streptophyta; Magnoliopsida; Poales; Poaceae
Description: long non-coding RNA (SITA_LNC002853)
Source: RNAcentral
GCAUCGCUUGCUCUCGCGCCCCGUGCGCCCAACGGCAGUUUCAGGGAUGCGAUGUCCGGGUCUUACGGUAAUCGGCGGGGCAACAGAAUCGGACCUCCUCCUCGAUGGGCACGGAUGCCGAGGCUGAGGCUCAUCAUCACGCUCGACGGCGAUGGCGACUAGGGAGAUCAUCGACAAGAUCUGGAAGGAAUCGCCCUCCCUCACCGGACGCGCUGACAGGGACCGGAGGCCGG